Molecule: ribosomal RNA, 1451 nt
Filed under: uncultured organism
Description: SSU rRNA
Rfam family: Bacterial small subunit ribosomal RNA
Source: RNAcentral
CGCUGGCGGCAGGCCUAACACAUGCAAGUCGAGCGGUAGCACAGAGAGCUUGCUCUCGGGUGACGAGCGGCGGACGGGUGAGUAAUGUCUGGGAAACUGCCUGAUGGAGGGGGAUAACUACUGGAAACGGUAGCUAAUACCGCAUAAUGUCGCAAGACCAAAGUGGGGGACCUUCGGGCCUCAUGCCAUCAGAUGUGCCCAGAUGGGAUUAGCUAGUAGGUGGGGUAACGGCUCACCUAGGCGACGAUCCCUAGCUGGUCUGAGAGGAUGACCAGCCACACUGGAACUGAGACACGGUCCAGACUCCUACGGGAGGCAGCAGUGGGGAAUAUUGCACAAUGGGCGCAAGCCUGAUGCAGCCAUGCCGCGUGUGUGAAGAAGGCCUUCGGGUUGUAAAGCACUUUCAGCGGGGAGGAAGGCGUUAAGGUUAAUAACCUUGGCGAUUGACGUUACCCGCAGAAGAAGCACCGGCUAACUCCGUGCCAGCAGCCGCGGUAAUACGGAGGGUGCAAGCGUUAAUCGGAAUUACUGGGCGUAAAGCGCACGCAGGCGGUCUGUCAAGUCGGAUGUGAAAUCCCCGGGCUCAGCCUGGGAACUGCAUUCGAAACUGGCAGGCUAGAGUCUUGUAGAGGGGGGUAGAAUUCCAGGUGUAGCGGUGAAAUGCGUAGAGAUCUGGAGGAAUACCGGUGGCGAAGGCGGCCCCCUGGACAAAGACUGACGCUCAGGUGCGAAAGCGUGGGGAGCAAACAGGAUUAGAUACCCUGGUAGUCCACGCCGUAAACGAUGUCGAUUUGGAGGUUGUGCCCUUGAGGCGUGGCUUCCGGAGCUAACGCGUUAAAUCGACCGCCUGGGGAGUACGGCCGCAAGGUUAAAACUCAAAUGAAUUGACGGGGGCCCGCACAAGCGGUGAAGCAUGUGGUUUAAUUCGAUGCAACGCGAAGAACCUUACCUGGUCUUGACAUCCACAGAACUUUCCAGAGAUGGAUUGGUGCCUUCGGGAACUGUGAGACAGGUGCUGCAUGGCUGUCGUCAGCUCGUGUUGUGAAAUGUUGGGUUAAGUCCCGCAACGAGCGCAACCCUUAUCCUUUGUUGCCAGCGGUUAGGCCGGGAACUCAAAGGAGACUGCCAGUGAUAAACUGGAGGAAGGUGGGGAUGACGUCAAGUCAUCAUGGCCCUUACGACCAGGGCUACACACGUGCUACAAUGGCAUAUACAAAGAGAAGCGACCUCGCGAGAGCAAGCGGACCUCAUAAAGUAUGUCGUAGUCCGGAUUGGAGUCUGCAACUCGACUCCAUGAAGUCGGAAUCGCUAGUAAUCGUAGAUCAGAAUGCUACGGUGAAUACGUUCCCGGGCCUUGUACACACCGCCCGUCACACCAUGGGAGUGGGUUGCAAAAGAAGUAGGUAGCUUAACCUUCGGGAGGGCGCUUACCACUUUGUGAUUCAUGACUG